Molecule: ribosomal RNA, 253 nt
Filed under: uncultured bacterium
Lineage: Bacteria
Description: partial 16S ribosomal RNA
Rfam family: Bacterial small subunit ribosomal RNA
Source: RNAcentral
UACGGAGGGAGCUAGCGUUGUUCGGAAUUACUGGGCGUAAAGCGCACGUAGGCGGCUUUGUAAGUUAGAGGUGAAAGCCCGGGGCUCAACUCCGGAACUGCCUUUAAGACUGCAUCGCUUGAAUCCAGGAGAGGUGAGUGGAAUUCCGAGUGUAGAGGUGAAAUUCGUAGAUAUUCGGAAGAACACCAGUGGCGAAGGCGGCUCACUGGACUGGUAUUGACGCUGAGGCACGAAAGUGUGGGGAUCAAACAGG